CCGGAAAUGAAAACCAUAACCCACAUUGUCAAGGAAAAUUUCCUCAUUCUCUCCUCCAUUUCCCUUCAAUUUUGGUUGCUAAAUUCUUCGAUCAUUUUCAAGUUAUCCAAAACCACUCUCCUUUCUUCAAUGGCUUUGUCGGUAAAUGUCUCCGACGAGCCACUUACCCCCGCCGGCCGGCUAUUUCUCCAGCCGGAAAUGAAAACCAUAAUCCACUGUGCACUUGGCGUCAAACAUCACAUGGACAGAGACGCCAUAAAAUCCACCAUAAAGAACUCUUUCAUGGUGAAGCACCCAAGAUUCUGCAGUCUCCUUGUGCGCGACAAGAAUGGAUUUGAGCACUGGAGAAGAACAGAGAUUGACAUUGACCGACACAUCAUACUUGUUGACGAAACCGCCGCCACCAACGGCGGCGACGAUGUUGACAAAAUAGUGAACGACUAUAUAGCAGAUUUAUCAUCAAGUAGUCCACUUGGCUGCGACAAGCCUUUGUGGGAAAUACAUAUGAUGAUGAAGCAGAAGUGUGCUAUAUUCAGGAUUCAUCACGCUCUCGGAGAUGGGAUCUCGCUGAUGUCGAUGUUGCUGGCCAUCUGCAGGAAGGCCGAGGAUCCAGCAGCGGUGCCCACCUUGGCUAUUGGUGGCCGGAGGGAUUGGAGUGGAGAGAAAGGGAAGGAUUGGAGAGGGGCUCUGAUGGGCGUUUUGAAGAUGGUUUUGUUUAAUUUGGUUUUCUGUUUGAACUUUGUGUUGAGGUGUUUGUGUGUUCGUGACCGGAAGACGGUGAUCUCUGGCGGUGAUGGGGUGGAGCUAUGGCCGAGGAAAGUGGCUACUGCCCAUUUCUUGAUUGAGGACAUGAAAAUGGUGAAAAAGGCUG
Molecule: unclassified non-coding RNA, 871 nt
Filed under: Hevea brasiliensis (rubber tree)
Lineage: Eukaryota; Viridiplantae; Streptophyta; Magnoliopsida; Malpighiales; Euphorbiaceae
Source: RNAcentral